RNAcentral lists this ribosomal RNA (372 nucleotides) under uncultured organism. Its description in RNAcentral is "bacterial SSU rRNA". It matches the Rfam family "Bacterial small subunit ribosomal RNA", at positions 526 to 896 of the family's 1533-position model. The record is from RNAcentral.
CAGAGGUCUCAAGCGUUAAUCGGAAUUACUGGGCUUAAAGGGUCCGCAGGCGGUCUGACAAGUACCUUGUGAAAUAUCAGGUCUCAACCCUGAAACUGCUCGGUAGACUGUCAGACUUGAGUGCAAAAGGGGUCGCUGGAACUCUAGAUGGAGCGGUGAAAUGCGUAGAUAUCUAGAGGAACGCCAAAGGUGAAGGCAGGCGACUGGUUUGCAACUGACGCUCAUGGACGAAAGCGUGGGGAUCAAACGGGAUUAGAUACCCCGGUAGUCCACGCCCUAAACGAUGUAUACUUGGUUGCGGCGGCUUUGACGCCGUCGUGGCCGGAGCAAAAGUGUUAAGUAUACCGCCUGGGGAGUACGGUCGCAAGGCUA